GCUGAAGACAAUUGGCAAUUGCCUGUAAUG
This 30-nucleotide non-coding RNA is filed under the name Rattus norvegicus (Norway rat). The record is from RNAcentral. Lineage: Eukaryota; Metazoa; Chordata; Mammalia; Rodentia; Muridae.